GGGUUUUUAGGUGCUUAAAGUAUUACACCAAGAGACGUCAAGUUUUGGAACGCUCAACAGUGUUACCUCCAGCGUAGGAAACCCUAGAUUUUAAAUAAGCUAUUGGGCUCCACAGAUAUGGGCCUUAAUACGCUUUCACUUAUUGGGCUUGUAUGUGAACAUAUUAUUUGGACUAUAUUAUAACAAAAUAUCCAAUAAUAAUAAUAUAUCCAACAAUCUCCUCCUAUGUUCACCAUACAGCACAAUCCAAUACAGUGGUCAGUGUAAUGUUCAAACAAUUAUGAAUCAUCCACAUUCAGUCCAAGACAAUCAACUCGGAUUAAAAACUCAAUCAUCAAUUGUAAUUCAAAUGAGUGAAUCAUUCAUAUCAUGAAUCUGUUCUGAGAUCGACAUAUCCAAAAUGAUUCUCAAAAUCAGUUCACAACCAACAUAUGCAUAACAGUCAAAUAUAAGUAGGCCAGUCAAAAUAAUCCAAGGCCUUACAAAUAAAAGAAAAAGACAUAAUAAUGUUCACAAAUAGAGAUAGCCAAAAACAAGUCUUAAGUAAAUGGACUCCAUCAAAACAGGUAAUAGUAGGUGAACUGUCAAGUUCCCGUACACUCUAAAUGAUAUAUAUAUUCAUUCAUCAAAUAGAUCAUCCUGAUCUGGAUCUCACUUAUUAAGCUCUCCUCCAUCCCUACCAUCCUCUGUAGAAUAUCAAAUAUAAAUUUCAUAUUAUCAUGAAUUUAAUCAUUUGAAUAAUCCACUAAAAAUGUCUAGUUCUACUAAAAGAACUUAGCAUCAUAACAUCAGGCAGAGAAGAAUAUAUAUUAAUGUCAUAAAGCAUCAUAAUAUCAUGUUCACAAGUAUCAAGCCAGUUUCAUAAAUUAUGAAUAAAGCCUAAAUAGUUUGAUUUAUAAAGAGCCAUCAACUUAAGUUUAUUUGUAAGAGAAUAAUCAUUGUCUAGUUUCAAAGAACAUGACCAAAACCAACAGGCUUCUUAUGCAGAUAGCUAUUUCUAUGUUUCAAUUUGGAAUGUCACAGUUACUAAUUCUUUAAAGUCAAAUAAUCUAGCAUCAAGUUUGGAAUGAGAUCAUUUAACUAAGAAAAGAAUAGUCCAGCCUAGUUGGAUUGUAUCAUCAAGUUUGGAAUGACACAAGCCUUCCAGGUAGAACUUUGAACUAGGUUAAAGUCAUUUUCAUCAAGUUUGGAAUGAAACAACUCACCUUUUUCAAAUUAGUCCGCAACCAUGAACAUCGAUGAAACAUAUAAAUUGUGCUUGACCACCAAAGGAAGGAAGAUUCGAUAAUUCAAAACAUACAAUUAGAAAGUAAGUAAAUGGUAAUUAAGACUAAUUUACAUAGUCUUUAACCCCAUUUCCCCCACUGUUUUGAAUAAUCGAUCUUUAGUCAUACCUUUUGUGAGAGUAUCGGCCAUGUUAUCCUUCGAUCUCACAUCGAUCAAGGUGAUAACCCCUUGUUCUCUCAGAUAAUUCAACAACGCAUGUCUCAGUCUCACAUGUCUUCUCUUUGAAUUAAAGAAAGCAUUUUUGACAACUUGGACAGCUGCUUGAUUAUCACAGAACAGGCUUAAAGAAUUAAUCUGUAGCCGAGUCAAAGGAAUAUCCAAAAUCAGAUUCUUUAUCCAUUCUGCUUCUUCGCCAGCGGAAGCUAAAGCAAAAAGUUCCGAUUCCAUAGACGACAAGGCAAUACAAGUCUGUCUUUUGGAUUUCCAAGUAAUAGCAGCUCCACCCAAAGUGAAUACAUAUCCACUUGUGGACUUACUAUUUCCAAUUUCUGAGCACCAUGAGGCAUCAGAAUAUCCAUCCACAGUUGGAGGAUAACCAGAAUAACAUAGAGCAUAAUCUUUCGUACCUUUAAGGUAUCUCAUCAGCCUACUAAGGGCAUCCCAAUGCUCUUUACUAGGAUUACUAGUGAAACGACUCAGCAUGCCAACUGUAAAGGCGAUGUCGGGUCUAGUGCAACUCAUAGCAUACAUGAGACUACCAAUCAGUUUUGAGUACUUUAAUUGAUCCACACUGGUCCCUUCAUUAGGACUCAGUCUUUUAUUAUAAUCACAUGGUGUCUCACUCGGUUUACAAUCACUGUAUCCCCAGGUAGAAAGUAGCUGCUCAAUAUAAUGAGUCUGGCUAAGGGAGAUGACUUGCCUUUCAAAUCUUACUUUCAUACCAAGAAUGGUAUUAGCAAUACCAAGAUCUUUCAUGUCAAAUUCUUUAGCUAAAGUAGCUUUCACGUCACUCACUACAGAAUGAUCGGAGCCAAGAAUUAACAUGUCAUCAACAUAUAAGCAAAUGAUGACUAUCUUAUUUGACACAGAACGAUGGUAAAGGCAUUUAUCUGAAUAGCUAGACUGAAAGCCAUAACUCUUUACCACUUUGUCAAAUUUAAGAUGCCACAUCUUAGGUGCUUGUUUAAGACCGUACAAAGAUUUAUUCAAUUUACAAACUUUGUCCUCAAGACCUUUCAUGACAUACCCUUCAGGUUGUUCCAUGUAGAUUUCUUCAUUUAACUCUCCAUUUAGAAAAGCUGUUUUUACAUCCAUUUGAUGCACUACAAAGUGUUCAAUAGAUGCCAAAGCAAGAAGAAUUCUUAUAGUUGAUAGAUGACACACAGGUGAAUAAACAUCAAAAUAGUCUAUUCCACUCUGCUGUUUAUAGCCUUUAGCUACUAAGCGUGCUUUGUAUCUGGCUAUUGAUCCAUCACUAUUCAGUUUCUUUUUCAAUACCCACUUACAGCCUAUAGCCUUAGCCCCUUUAGGCAAAUUGACUAGCUGCCAAGUGUGGUUCUGCAACAGAGAGCUCAUUUCAUCAUCUAUGGCUUCUGCCCACAGUAGGGAUUCCCUAGAUCUCAUUGCUUCUUGAUAAGAAAAUGGAUCAUCCUCGAGAUGGUAAGUAACAAAAUUCUCACCAAAACUUUUGGGAACUCUCUCUCUUGUAGAUAUUCUAACUGGAACUGAUUCAAUAGCCAAUUGUGUGGGAUUAGUGUCAGAAGGGCCUGCUUCAGAUUCUACAGGAGAUUCUGAAAUCAUAUCUGUAGAUCCAGAAACAUUCAAGCCAUGAUCUCUGAGAAACUUAUUCUCAAAGAAUUCUGCAUCUCUAGAUUCUAUCACUGUGUUAGUAGAUAGAUCUAAAAACCUAUCUGCAGCACUAUCUUCUGCACUGCCUAGAUAUACACAGGUAAUGGUUCUAGGUCCCACCUUAGGCCUCUUUGGAUCUUGUAUUCUUACAUAAGCAAUACAGCCCCAGGUCUUAAGAGUAUCAUAUCUACAAGGAUGCUUAUGCCAUAUCUCAUAAGGUGUCAUAGACAAUUUAGAGUGUGGCAACCUGUUCAGGAUGUGAUUAGCAGUCAGAACUGCUUCUCCCCAAUAGGAGGAAGGCAUGCCAGCUGUAAGUAACAUAGAAUUUAACAUUUCAGUUAACGUUCUAUUCUUACGCUCAGCAACACCAUUUGAUUGGGGUGAGUAAGGAGCAGUGGUUUCAAGUAUUAUGCCCUCUGAAGCACAAAAUUCCUUGAACCCUGUCAUUGUAUAUUCUCCUCCUCUAUCACUCCUAAACCUCUUAAUUUUCAUGUUGAGUUGAUUUUCUACUCUAGAUUUGAAAAUUUUAAACUUUUCAAAAGCCUCAUCUUUCGAUUUCAACAAAUAGACAUGACAAUAUCUAGAAAAAUCGUCUAUGAAUGUUAUCAAAUACUUUCGACCACCUCUAGUGACGUAAUUUCUAAAAUCACAAAGAUCAGAAUGUAUUAGCUCAAGAAGUUGUGUGCUUUUAGAAACCAUCUUAAAAGGUUUUCUAGUGAUCUUAGCUUGUGCACACACUUCACAUUUGUCAAAUCGAAUAGAAGUAUCCAAUGGAAUGUUGUGAGUUUUAGCUAGAAGUUGCAUUUUCCUGUAGUUCACAUGUCCAAGUCUAUUGUGCAACAACUUUGGAUCAAUCAGAAUAGAACUCACAUGGUUUAUGCUAUCAGUAUCUAAACUCAACCUAUACAUACCAUUAACCAUGAAUGCACAACCAAAAUAACAUGAGUUAACUGAUAAGGUUACUCUACCAUUCAUAGUUGAAAAGGACAUACCAGCUUUAUCAAGUAAGCUCAUAGAUAUCAAAUUCUUUUUAAGUAAAGGUACUACUCUAACAUGUUUCAGAGUUAGUAAUUUACCUGAAGAAAGCACCAAAUUUGCAGUUCCAGUAUGAGUCACUUCUGCCUCACCACCAUUGCAAUUUUCCACGGUGUCUUUCACUUCUGUGACCUCUGUGAGUAGGUUCUUGUCAUUUGCAGCAUGACAAGUAGCGCCACUAUCCAACCACCACUCAGAAGAAAUACUAGCCUUUCCAAUUUUCAUCAUUCCAAUGAAGGCUUGAGGCUCAGAUUCACUAAUUAGCAUAUUAGCCUCACUUUGUGGUGUGUUAUUCUUUGGCUUCUUUGGUAGUCUACACUCUGCUGCCCAGUGACCCCACUUUCCACAGUUAUGGCACUUUCCUUUCUUCUUCUUUUUGGAGAUAGUCUUUUUGACCUCUAGCUGUGAAGAAGAUUCACCUUUUGGUGACUUGGAUCUUUUCUGAGGUUUAUUGAAGUGUGAAACUAAGUUGGCAACUGACUUUUGUUGUCCUACUUGUUCUAAAUUCUUUCUAGUACUGUUUUGAUCCUCAAUGUGAAUAUACCUCUUUAAUUCAUCCAGUCCCAUCUGUUCUUUCAAUCUGUGCAUUUCAGUCUUGAAAGAAUUCCAUUCAGCAGGUAACUUACUCAAUACAAGACCAACAAAGAGAUUAUCAGACAUAUCAGAUUUAUCAUCUUUCAGCUUGUUCCUCAUGUUCUCAAGUUCAAUUAAUUGAGAGGUGAUACUUGAAUUCAUAUUGAACUUAAAGUCAAAAAAUUUCUCCGCUAGAAGAGUUUUAGAAAGCCCCUCUUGUUUUUGGAACUGAGCGUUCAAGUGAUCCCAUAUCUCUUUCGCUGUCUUAUACUCACUAUAAGUCAUAGCUAGACGAGGAUUUAAAGAGUUCAACAAGUAAUCUCUACAGAAAUCUUCAUCCUUGUUCCAUUGAUAUUCAUCCACAUUUUCAAUGGUAGAUGCAAAAUCACUCAGAACAGUGUAGAAUAUUUCACGUUCUUUCAUGCCAAAUUGAACAUGUAAUUUCCAACCAUGAAAUUCAGUAACAUCAAAUGAUUGCAAUUUUAUAAUAUCAAAAGAACUACGCUUUGCCAUUUAAUCAGAGCAAAGUGUUAGAAAGAGUGCACCUUGUAGUCCGCAGAUCUCGCAAAGUCGAAUAAAGCCCCUGAUCUGAAUCAAAGUGCUUUGUAGAGGUGGAAUUUGCCAAAAACAAACCCAAAAUUGGAUCCGUAGCGCCCAAAAACCUUAAGAUGAACUGCCCUCGUCGCCGGAAACUGCUGAAAACUUCCGAUGGCCGUAACUUCGUCGUCCGACCUCCGUUCGAGACGAGUAACCACUCAAAACGUUCGUAUCGACGAGUAGAACAGAACCCAAGUGGUUUCACCCUCUGAAAUUGGCUGUAAUUUCUGGAUUUUUGAAUCAAAGAAUUCCGCCGCCUGACUUUCAAACUCAGAUCCCGGCCAAUCCGAUCGUCGAAAUCGAAAAUAAAUUAUACCGGUGAAUUCGUCUUGACGAGAUCUUCGAAUCGAUACCUUACUCGCUCAAAUCCGAUAUAGGAUCGUAAUACUUUAAGAUUGUUGGAGGUUAGGGUUUUUAGGUGCUUAAAGUAUUACACCAAGAGACGUCAAGUUUUGGAACGCUCAACAGUGUUACCUCCAGCGUAGGAAACCCUAGAUUUUAAAUAAGCUAUUGGGCUCCACAGAUAUGGGCCUUAAUACGCUUUCACUUAUUGGGCUUGUAUGUGAACAUAUUAUUUGGACUAUAUUAUAACAAAAUAUCCAAUAAUAAUAAUAUAUCCAACAGAAUCACCCCUCCGACCCCUUACUCAAUAAUCUUGGGGUUUCGAUUUUUUUCACAAUUUCUUUUUGCAAUUUUUCAGUGUCGAAAUAAGUUUUUUUCUUUGAAUUCUUUUUUCUUUUCCAUGAAUUUAGCAUGAAUUUUUAAAAAUUUUGAUUUCAGAAAAAAAUAGCAAUAGUAUGUUUGAUUUUAGUGCCCAUCAAAAUUUAAUAGAUUUUUUUAUAUGGAUUUUUUUCAUGAUUUGUUCUCAAAUUUUCAGUGUAAUACUCAAUUUUUACAUGAUUUUUUUCACUAUUUUUCAUGAUUUUUGUAUGAUUUUUCUGGGUGAAUGCCCAAGCUAUGUUGCACUUUGAAAAAAAGUAUCUGAGAACUAUAAUAAUUUUAAUUUAGUGAAUAAAAUUAAUAAUAAUAUGUUCGAUUUAAGUUUUUUUUAUCAUAAUUUUUUUUUUUUUAAUUUUUUGUUACACAAUAUUUGGUAAUCUAUAGAGUAAUAUUUUGAUAUUCAAUGAAAUAUUUAAUAAAUUUUGUAAUAUAAAGUUGAAAAGUUCCAAAAUUGAUAAAAUAUUAUGAAGAUUUUACUAAAUUCAAAAGAAAUAUACUAUACUGUGUGAUUUUUUUUCUUUGUUCUUUUAUUUUUUGUAAGUGUUUUGGAGUAAAAAAAUUUAAUUUUCACCCGUGAGAACAUUAUUUAAUAUGAAAGUUUUUUCAUUUUCUUGUUUCAUUUUUUUCUUAUAUUAGAAUAAUCUCUAGAUUUGCAUGUCUCUCCCUCUCCCCCUUUUAUCUCUUUCUCUUCCCUCCCCUCUCUCUGUCAUAUCUUGAUAUGUCUCUCUCUCUCCUUUCUUUUCUCUCUCUAUAAGAUUUUAUAAUAAUCUUUUCUUUCUUUCUCCUCCAUAUACAUUUCUAUCUCUUCUUUCCUCUUUCUCCCCUCUCUUUUUUUCUCUCUAUUCCCUCCCCUCUCUCUAUCAUAUCUUAUUGGAUUUUAUAAUAAUCUGUAAAAUCUUUCCAAAUAACACUAUUUCCUAGGCAAUUGUUAUGCCUCGAAACCUUAACUCUCACUCUUACAACUCUCUCUCUUCUUAAAUAUUUCAAUCAUACAUAUCCUAUAAGCUCUCAUAAAAUAUGCUCAAACUUUUUAUACUUUUUCUUCUCUAUCAAACUACAAAAUUCUUAUAAUUUUUUUUGCACUCUUUUUUCCAAUCUUUUCUCCUCAAAAUUUAUAUAAUUUUUUCUCUCUAUUAAAACAACAAAUAUCUUACAAUUUUUCUUUCCCUUAUCAUUUUAUUUUUCUUUGGCUGGUACGUGCAUGCCUCAAAAUUGUUACUCACAUUAAAUUUACAUUCUUAUAAUUUUUUUUCAUUUUUUCCCACCAAUCCAAAUAAAUGUGAAUUUUUUUCUUUCAACCAAACAAAUGUUGAUAGAAAACUACUUUUUCUUCCUAUAAACCAAACACUACAAAAUAUAAAACAUUUUACUCCUGAUAAUUUUUUAAUAAAAAAUUAAUUUUCGCGAUUUUAUGUAGAACCGACCCUAAGUUUAUUUUUUUAAGAAAACAAACUAAAUGNGUUUUAUAUCCAACCAAAUACCCUCUUAGAUGUUUUUUUUUUAGAAUUAAUUAUUCUCUUUCGCAUGCUUAUUAUUAUUUCUAUUUAAUUAUAUGUCUUGAAGCAUUACAUUUAUAUUAAAAUAAAUAUUGUGAUUUCAUCUUUGAAUAUAAUUUUUUUUAUAUCUAUCUACUGCGAAGCACGGGCCCUUCACUAAUUUUACUUAAUAAUGUUACCUUUUGUUUUGUACUAAAAGAAACUUUAUUUCGGUUGAAGUGUAUGUAAACCCCCUCAACCGUAGAUUGUCUCGAAAUUGCCCCUUAAUUUUAUAUAUUUUUUUUAUUUGGCACUUCACUAAUUUUUAAUUUUCUUGAAUUAAUAGUUUUAGUAAAUAAAUUAAAAGUCUUAUGAAAUCCAAUUAUGAUUUCAUCAUAUUUAACUAUUCAAUCUUAUUUUAGCUAGUAAAACUAAAAUUAUUACCGACUGUAUAAUAGCUAAUAAAAUGCUAGAUUCCUAUCCGAGUGGAUAACCAUCUAACUCUCGCAUGUUGAGACCUAGCGGAAGAUUUGAACAAAACAACGAUCUUUGAUGUAGGAGAAAAAUGAUAGAAUUAUGAAAAGAACAUACUUUUGGGUCAAAAGAUCAUAAUUCCUUGUUCUUUUUUCUCUACAAUAUAAGUCUCAACUUAACUAAAAGAUCUAAAAUUUUAAAAAGAAAUGAUUUCCUUAUUCACUGUCAGCUAUCAAAUUAGCUAUUUACUGAGCAGUUUAUUCAAUUUAUGUAAUUAUUAUAUCACAUUGAAUUGAAUAUAGGCCAAUUUGCAUAAAAAAUCCACAAAUUUUGAGCUUUUGCAAAACUGGACCACCUUUUUUUUAUUUUGCAGAUUCAGUUCAAAUUUUCAGCAAACUGAUCAAAAUACUCUUAUUAUUUUUUUCUCUCUCCUCUUUUUUUUCUCUCGUUUAUUUUUUUCUCUCUCUCCGAAGAAGGCAGCGAAGGCAGAGAAGAUGGCGGAAACGGCCCGCUUCGCCUCUCACCCUCAUGCCCUCGCCCUCACCCUCGCCCGCGCACCCACCGCCUUCCUCGCCUCCGACCCCACUGAGACCGCGCUGCGACUUUUUUUUUUACCCCCUCUUCGACCUCCUCCACCAUCUCUGAUGACAGCGCCUCUUUCGCCCUUCCCUGCCUUUUCACCCUCAUGCCCUCGCCCUCGCCUGCACACCUCCCGCAUUCCUCACCUCCGACCCCGUUGAGACCGUGCCGCGACUUUUUUUGUCCCUCUCCGACCCUCCUCCACCAUCUCCAACGAUGGCGCCUCUUGCCCUUCUCGCCCUCUCCCUACUCCUCCGCCUCUACCUCCGCCUCCUCCGCUUUCUCCAACGACGAUGUUUCUCCGCUAAUGCCGAUGUCACGGAGGUCGCUGCGGCGCCGCAGCCUCGGAGUGGGGGGUCCUUAGUGGCAUCGUCGCUAGGGCAUUGGCCGUUGGCGGAGAACCGUGACUAAAAAAAAAUUAUAGAAAAAGGAAGAAGAAGAUGAAAUUGCAAUGUUAAAAUAAAUUUACAUUGUUUUAAAUUUUUUUUGCACUGUUUUAAAUAAAAGUUUCACUCUUUGAGACAGAAAUUACACUCUUUAGGAUCGGAUUUAUAUUUUUUAGGACAAAGUUACACUAUUUAGGUGAAAUUUACACCAUUUCUCUUUUCCUUCUUCUUUCUCCAAUUUACACCAUUUUUUUUCUUUUCCUCUUCUUCCUCCUCGCUUUUUAGUUUAUAGUAAACUUUAAGAUAUUGAAAUAAUUUUUACAUAAUUUUUUAAAAAAAUGGUGCAUAGACUUGUAAAGAAAAUGCAUCUGUGGAUGAUGUUGCUUCACUACACUGCAUAGAUGCGCGAGCAUCACAUAAUAGCACAUGAGCAUUUUGGCUUUAUAUCAUGAAGUGCUUUCUUUUUCCCAUGUGUGGUACGAAAUCCCACUGUUAGAACCAUUAUAAUAGAAUCAGCUCUUUCUUUUUAUUAUGUGAAACAUGUAUGUGAAUGAUGUGGAAUACUUUGGAGGCUUUAAGCAGGAGUUUCACACCCCGGGACCAGGCGGAGGCCCGCCCGGUGCGUGUCCAGACCCGCCAUAUGCCUGCACAUAUAAGGAGUCUACAACAAAGCGAUAUAAAGAAUAAGGAUAAACAAGUAUCUAGAGAUAUCAGAGCAAGUAUACAACUGGAUUCUAACAACAAGUAGGAUAAAAGAGAACUAAACCACUAAGAUAAAACAUAGAGUAAUACAUCAAAAAGCCUCAAAUACAAGUGCUACAAUAUCCAAAAUGGUUGUCUCUAUACAUGGGUACAAGAUCUCUCACUCUCUACAUAGAUACAAAAAUAGAGAGAAAAUCACCUAAAGUAAAAUCCCUCGCUAUCUAGCUCGAGGCAAUUUCUUUCCCGCGAUUCCGAGCCUCUCCUGGAGUGGAAGGCUCUGAAAGAAAAUAUCAAACAGGGGGUGUGAGAACUAUAAUUAAUAGUUUCCAGUGGGCAAUUACUGACCUUAACAAAAUGCACCACUAGGCCCAAAAGCAAAGUAGAUAAUUCUAACCUUUAGUUGGAAGCGAUAGCAUGAAAAUAAAACAUGAAUUAAAUUUGCUAGCUACUAUGCCACUACUUAACAUGAGUUCCAUAAUUGCAAUAGCUAGCCUAACAUAAAGGAGUACAUCGCAUGAAUAUGCUAGUAUGCUCUAACAUGUUAAACAAGUAUACUAUAAUGCAAUAAACAAUACUAUCAAGUAUACUACAAGUCCAAGUAUGUCACGAGCAUGUACACGAAAUUCAACUACUAUAAACUAUCUAGUAGUGAUUGUCAUAUUAUGGUUUAAUGUCAUUGUCCAAUCUCAUUCUAGGACCUACACAAGUGUAGUCCGGCUUGUGCUGCCUAAGUGCCCGUGGUAGCCCAACAUUUCCACUCUAGGAAUGAGUCUAUCCCACUCGGCCCCGUAGGCUUCUCAAUACUGCACGAGUGAGCAUAUGUCGCGUAGGCUAACUCCGGAGUGCCGGCUUGUAGGGAGCGACCCUCACAAGUAUGUGCGAAUGAGCACAAAUGGCAAGCAAGCAAAGUCAUCAUCUCAAGGAUUCGGUCAUCAUGUCUCUAACAUGGUAAUAAUCACUAGCAACCCCAACGGUCUAGUUUAAUGUUCCAAGGUAAGGUUUAACCAUAUAUUAAGUUCAAUGCCACUUUAUGAUAUUAACUUACUAAGUCCAAUCACAUUUCAAGCCCAAUGCCACUUUAUGACAUUAGCUUACUAUGUCCAAGCACAUUCCAAGCCCAACGCCAGUUUAUGACAUUAGCUUACUAGUUCACACAUCAUUAUAGUCUAAUGCCCCUUUAUGGCAUUGUGUUUUUUCCUAUGUCCAAUAUGAGAUCUAUGUCCAAGGGCAUAUUAUACUUGUCAUUUUCACUAUAUGAAACAUGAUCCUAAGCCACAUAUAAAAAUGCUAUUUUUAUGCAAGAUUCCAAUAUAUAUAACUCUCUACUAUAUAGAGGUCCAAAUUUGCAUUGUACAUAACAUGUGCAUUUCAAGCAUUCUAAAAUUCAUAUAUGCCCUAUCUAGCAUGAAUAUGCAUGAUUUUCUAUUUUACAAUAUUUAAAAUGACAUAGGUGAGAUUUUCUCAUUUUGGUAAGGUCAAACCGACCGAGGUUUUUUGCAACCCUUUCGUUUGCGCAAAAGAAGUUGUCCCCAAGUCUUCUAGCUCCCUAAAGAGAAUUCUAAGUGAGUUAAACAAAUUAAACGAACACUCAAAGUGUUCAUCUAAAAAUCCACCCAAGGAUAAGGCAAAACUCACCUAAAGUGUAGAAAAUCCCUCUCAAAUUCCAAAUGGAAGCUAGAGCCCUUCAAAACUAUCCCAACGAGAUGUUCUACACCUAUCAAUUGAGUCCCAAAGGCCUCUAAUCAAAAAUCCCCAAAUAACCCUAAUUUCUCAUUCUAAGGUUUCAUCUAUCAAAAUCUAUCAAAAUAUGAAUCUAAAGCAAGAAACAUGUUACUAACCUCUCUAGAAGCUUCAAACAAGGUUCAAAAUCAGCUAGGGUUGAAGAUCUCCCCUCCAACUAGCUUCAAUCCAAGCUUCGAGCCUUCAACAAUGAUGGAAAUGCAACCAAAAUACCAUAAAGAAGCAAAAUAGGUGAUUAAAUCACCAAAAACCGAGCAAAAGGGAAAGAAAUCAAAAGAGAAGAAAAGAAGGGCUCUCUACCUUGUUCUCCUGUGAUUCCCAGCUCAGGAGACCCAGCAAAGGGCGUGGGUUAUUUGUAGGAUUGCUACAAUAACAAAAACACCCUUCAAAAACCGCGAGACUGCAGUCUGCACUGCGUACCGGUACAGUACACGAUAAAGAGUAUCGGUACCAAACACUGUACGCGCAAACCCGAGCCUCGGGUUUGCAGAAAACGUAGCCUGAUACCGGUACAAACCCGAUGUUGUACCGGUACAACCUCUCAUUCCGGUACAAGCUCAUGCUGUACCGAUACCACACUCUGCAGAAUUCAACCCGAGAGCAGCCUAAGUCCUUCUCUUUGGAGACCUUAGGGCUAAGUUUAAAACAUCGAUUCUCGAGAUGCGAGCCAUAGGUCGGAACACCGUCACGACCCUCCAGAAAAUGUGGAAAAGCUCGGAACACAAAUCAAACACUCGAACCUCGCAAUUUGCAAAGGUCUAGUGUGUUACAAGGAGGACCUUGAACAACUGAUUGAUGCGAUGUGAUUAAACUACAAGGCCUGGGCCUCAGGUAUGACCCCUUGGCGGUGGGUGGGGACAUGGAAUCAGUAGCGGUUCAGGAGUUUAGUCGAACACUAUUCAACAUCCGGCCCGACAUCACCUUGAGCGUGCUUCAGACCAUCUUCGGGAGCAACAUCCGCCGGGCACACCACCACGUCCACCACUACCCGCCCUGCCACCCGUUCCAGCGCUAGCUGCUCGUGAUGGUGAGGUGUGGGGUGUCGUCGGUCGAGUGCAUGGCGGGGAAGGAGGAGGAUGAAGAGAAAGAGAAAGAAAAAUAGUGUAAUAUACCGAAACUUCGAUAGGUUGUACCGAACUUCAGUCAAAUUGACCGAAGUGCGGAGUGGAACUAGUUAGAAUGGUCUGUUAAUCAUUCCGAGUGUUUCAGAGUGUAUGUUAUGAGUGUAUGGACCUUGGAGAGCAAGCUCAUAAAUUUUCAACUCAAAUUGUGCUGGAAAUGCUCUCGGGGUCCAGACCCUAAGUGCAAGGUCCGAACCCCGUACCCGCAAAUUCGUGGGUUUGUUCAGUACAGUAAAUUGGUGAGGGGCCUAUGUGCAAAUGUCACAUAUGGGACCAUAUAUGUGAGUUGGAUGCCCUAGUUCUCAUUCCCUCACUUGUGAACAAAGAGUUGGAACUCUCUUUCUCUUCCUAGAGCUCCUCUCAUCUCUCUCUCUCUCUCCUUCUCUCACUAGGGUUGCUCCAAAAGGAAACUUGGUGGAGAAGAAGACUUCUUGGAGGGUGGAGUUAGCACUUGUACAAGAGGUUGAGGAAGAAAGCUUGAACUCAAGGUGAGUUCUCAUGGUUUAGAAGCUAGGGUUUUGAGUAGUCUCUUCUAGUUAUGGUAUCUAGAAGCUAUUAUGGUAGAUUAAUGUAUGAAUCUCCAUGUGUUUAAGGAUAUUUGGCGAUUAUUAGAAACCCUAGGGUCAAAUUGGGGUUUUGGUAGAUAUGAGAUCUAACUAGGGUUUGAUUUCUUGUAGCUCUAAUUGGAGAGAAAACCGACGUGUCGGGAAACUCGGAUCAAGAUUCCGUUGAGUCUACGCCAAGAAAUUGAGGGAAAACCCUGUUCCGCUUCGUUUGCCAUGGUCGAAGGGAAUAGGCGAUUAUAAAUCACAAGACUUGAAUCGUAGCCUUCCGACAUCCCUAUGAGGUGGGUGGUGCUAUCCGAAAUCAUCGAAUCUCCUUUUAUGUCUAAAUGUCACCCAUUGAGCAUGUAUAUGUAUAGUAGGAUUCAUACAUUGUAGGGUUAAUGAGAAUGUAUGUGUAUAUCCUUUGCAUGCUUUUAGUAUAAAGAUGCAUAUGAGUUGAGAAUGAGAUAUUGAGCAUUGUGAACCCUAUAUAUGUAUGAAUUAAGAUAUGAACCUAGUUGAGGUAAAGAAUAUGGUGACAUUGUGACAAGUGAGUGAAAUAGCACCUUGUGGCAUUAGUGAGUAUAAAGAAUGCUAGAAAAUGAGACACUUUGUGUUGUGACAUUAGUGAGCAUAAAGAAUGCUAGAGAAUGAGACACUUUAUGUUGUGGCAUUAGUGAACAUAAUGAAUGCUAAAGAAUGAGAUACUUUGUGUUGUGGCAUGUGUGAACAUGGCAUCCUCAUAGUUGAGGACUCUCUCAUAGUUGAGGAUUGGAUUGUUGAGGAUUGGAUCAUACUCACUUGUAAGUCUUGACUUGAGGGCAAUAGCUCCCUCUCAAGCGAUGAGCUCCGGUGUUGCCAUCACUGGGUUAUAGUUUCCCCAGAGGACAAUCCCGUUGGGUUGUAAGAGUUUCUCCCCGAUAGUAGGGAUUUGAGUUGGUGAGUUUUGGGCGAAACCUACGGGUUAGCCGAGAGGAUUGGGUAUUGAGAGUGGUAAUUGACAUGCAUCAUGAGCAUCAUAUAUUGUUAGCAUUCUUGUUCAGGCAUAGUAGCUGCAUUUGUUUAGUAUGGUUACCUAUCUAUUUGUUUCUUCUACUUAUGCCUGAUUUGGACCUAGUGGGAAAGUCGGCGGGGUCGGCGGCCGAACCCACUGGGAACUUUCUUGUAGUUCUCACCCCACUAUUUUCACAAAUCCAGGUCCGAGCGAGGCGGUCGAGGACCAUGGCAAGGGUAUCGCACCCUAGCUAGUGACUACCCGAGUAUAGUACCUACCUUGUCAUUAUCAUCUUUUGUUUAUGAUGAGCAAAUGUAUUAAUGAUGUAUAAAUGUAAAAAACUUAUGUUUUAGAUGAUAAUCAUGUGGUGUAUAUGAAAGAAUGAAAGAAUGUAAAUGGUUAUAUGCAUGUAUUUGAUUAAAAGUAAUCAUAGUACUUGUAUGGAUGUUAUAGUGUAGAACUUUCACUUUGGUUAUUGCUUGCCCUCUCGCAAGCCAUGUAUAUCUAUAUUUCCGCUUGCGCAAAUUUAUAUACAUGUUGAUAGGUGUUGAGCCUUGGGCGGGCAGGGGAGGUGCUGUCUGUCCGGCGUCUGUUGACGUGUCCGAACCGACCAAAUCGGCGGUCCCGGGGCGUGACAAAUAGUGUAAAUUGGAGAAGGAAGAAAGAAAACAGAAAGUGUAAAUUUUACGUAAGUAGUGCAACUUUGUCCUAAAGAGUAUAAAUCUGAUCCCGAAGAGUGUAAUUUUUAUCUCAAAAAGUGCAACUUUCAUUUAAAACAACAAAAAAACUUUUAAACAGUAUAAUUUUAUUUUAAUAGUGCAAUUUCAUCUUCUUCUUUCUUCUUCUAUAAUUUUUUGUCUUUAUUUUUUUUUCUUCCUUCUUCAAUAAUUUUUUUUAGUCACGCCUCUCCGCCAACAGCCAUGGCGUCGGCAACGACGCCGCUAAGAACCCCCUCGCUUCGAGGUUGCGGCACUGCAACAACCUCCGCGGCAUUGGCGUCGGCGGAGAGGCGGUAGAGGAGGCGGAGGAAAAGGGAAAGGCCGAGGGCGAGAAGAGCGGGAAAGGGCGAGAGAGGGUGAGAGAGAUGUCAUCAUCGAAGACCAUGGAGGAGGGUCGGAGAGGGAAAAAAAAAAAAAGUCGCGGCGCGAUCUCAGCGGGGUCGGAGGCGAGAAAGGCGAGAGUGUGCGCGGGCGAGAGCGAGGGUAUGAGGGUGAGAGGCGAGGCGGGCCGUUUCCGCCUCUACCUCUGCCUCCGCUGCCUUCUUCGAGGAGAGAAANAAAAAAGAGAGAAAAAAAAUAAUAAUGAUAUUUUGAUUAGUUUACUGAAAAUUCGGACUGAAUUUAUAAAAUCGAAAAAAACCGCCCAAUUUUUGCAAAACCUCAAAAUUUAUGAAUUUUUUAUGCAAAUUGGCCUUGAAUAUAAACUACCGCCUCCAUCAUGUUAUAUCCUAAAUCCUAAAUAGUCCAACAAAAGAGAGCUAUGGACAAAAGCUAAUUGGGUAUAUAAAGUGAAAGAAGGGCAAAAAGCAUACCCUCAUGAAUUCUAUUGAUGAUGUUAUAUAGUACAAAAAAUGAGUCUAAUAUAGUAAAAAUGUCUAAUAUAGUAACAAUAUAACUAGGCAUCUCAUAUUAUAUAAUUCUACUCUAAAUAUGUCAUAAUAUAUAAUAUCCUUAUAUAGCAUGAGAUUCUAAAUAUGUCGUCACAUAAAGGCAACCUAUACCUUGUACGAAUAACUUGGGGUGAGGUGUUUUGGACAACUCGCUCAGGCCAAUUAUUUAUUUAUAGUCGUUACAAAACAACUCGUUUCCCUAAUAAUAGUUUACAUCUAAAGUUAACAAUUAUUCCAUACUUUUGGGCUUACUAUUCGAAAUAAUGGAAAAGUGCAGGAUUCAAAUUAUUUCAACUUUUUAUGCAAGAGAAAUAUUAAGACAAGUCGAGCGUGUUAUUUUGUAAAUUAGGCAAGUUACAAUGGAAGAUCAAAAAAUAUAUAUACAUAGAAUUAAACAAAAAAAAAGGAGGAAAAAAAAAUAAAUUUCCUUCAAUAAUGCCAGGUUAGACAAAUAAACCAGAAUAUCAUUUAAUCUGUGCGUUCAACUUGCCUGUAAAAUAAAAAAUAACAAGAAACAACUAACAUCUGAGCAUGAGGUAGUGUAGUUGGCAAGGGAGAUAUUCUAGCCACCUCAACAACAGAAUUAUGCAUACAAAGUGAGCUACUAACCCUAUUGUGAAACUCAUAUGAUGCUAAAAUUAUAUUAAAAAAAAAAAAAGACAAGAAUUUACAUGUUAAAUAAUGGAUUCACUUCUCGUGAUCGUCGUUCGAAGGGUCGAUCUUGAUGACGAGAGGUUGGUGUAGAUCCGACGGAGGAGCCGUCACGGUGACAGGUAGUUGAGGGGUGACUAAGACGCUACCGACAUCUGGGUUCUCAGCCAAUGCUUUAUCUAAAGAAGCCUUUGCGACUUUCGUCACAAUUACCACCAGGAUCACUGUACAAUUAUAAAAUCACAAGGUAAAUAUUCAUGUAUUGCACAUGAAAGUUGAUUUGUAAGAGUCUUGCAACACGCCAGUGCACUUAACAAAAGUAUAAAAACUAUCAUUCAUUAUACGCCUACUCUUGCUUUACAUCCAUGCAGGCGUCGAGUAUCUAAAUGCCUUGCUCAAAUUUACAGUUACAUGAGGAAUUGAAUAUAUACGUCGUAGAGGUGCAAUCGAACAGGGUAAGAGCCAGGUAACACACACCGGUUCCAAGUCAAUAAUUUGAAUUAGUAGGAAAAUGGACUUGUGCCCUCCUAUUUUUUCUUUUUUCUUUUUCCUUCGUUUUUUGUUCCGGAUGCGACGGGUCUGGAAAGGGUUCAAACAUAAAAGCCCGUCUACUAUCAGGUCGGCAAUGGGUCAAUACAGGGGCCAAUAUAAUGAGAAGAAAUAACAAAAAAAUAGACCUUAUUUGAAAAUAUAAGUAGUUUAUAACAUAUUGAGAGCUUAUCCUUGCAUAAAUAUCCAUCCACUUAAUCCUGCAAGAAAUGUCCAUUUCAUCUUUGAAGUGGAGAAAUGUCUAAAUUUACCCCUUAUCAAACUAAUAGAAAGAACUAAGAAAAAUUGUUACUAGAAAAAACAAUAAAGAAAAGAAAAUAUCAUUGAAAACAACUAUGGCUGAAAAAGAAAAAAAUAUAUAUAAGAUAUGAAAACAGGUGGAAUCUAUACUCAAGUAUCGAAUAGGAGAACCAGGUUCAGGUCGGACCUAGGCUGAAAUGGAGCAUCUAAUCUAUUAAACCCAGACCAUGAUAUGAAAUUUUUAUGGUUCCCAUUUUAUACCACACACCAAUCCAUUCAAACUCAGGUGAUUGGGCCAGUGUUAGAUAAUCAGGCCUAGGUCGCAUCUCUACUCUUAACUGAUCACAUGGUUUUCAUGCUUUAAUGGAGACAAAUCAGAAGUAAUACUUCCCACUAGAACUCAUGCAGGUGUAUAUUAUGUGUACCUUGUAAACCAAUUUGAUAGAAGGCAUCUAUCAAGGACUUUAGGAUUAUAAAUGAAACAGCACUUACCAGAUACUAUAAAGCCCGAUAUUAUGAGCACCUGAAAUAAUUGAGAGAAGAAAUUUGUCAAGAAGUAAUACAGGACAGUAAAGUAAUGCACGACACAAUUGCUGAGCACAAAGUGAACAGAAAUGUGCAAAAAAAAAAACAACGAAAAGAUGGCUUAUUGUCAAAAUAAAACAAUGCUAGGUGAGAGUCUUAUAAGAAAGAUACAAACAAGUAUGUUGCAUCUAUAUUGUCAGAAAUAUGGUAAACUUUUGGAACAUAUUUGUUUACAAAAUGUAUAUGACAUCAAGUCCAAGAAAGGACAAAAUGAGGCUUAGCUUUUGUAUAUUUCUGUGCAAUUGGAUUAUUAAGCAACUUGGCCUAGUUUGGCAUGUAGAAAAGCUAGGAUAGGAUACACACAUUCGCUAACAUAAUACAGCACUAACAGACUUGACAUAUCCUAGUUUGGCUGAGAUCUUUGAUAGGCUAUUUUUUGAACAUUUUGCUUGUAUCAUCUUUAACAAAAAAAGAAAUUGGUGGUUGAGAAAUUGGCUCACCUAUAAGAAGAACAAAUUUUUCGAUAGACCGCAAGUUAGUUCAAACUGAGGAAUAGAUUUGUUGCUUGGAAUCAACAAGACCCAAUUGUUACCAACUAUGAUCAACCAAGUGAAAGCAAAAUUCACAGACAACGAUGAUGUUUAGUAGAGUUUCUAUAAAAACUUAAGCUGCUAGGCAGGGUGUCAAUAUUUUAAACAGAGCACUCCUUUUAUCUUAAGGCCUAUUAUAUGAUUCUCCUGCUAGAAAUCAAACUCAAAACCUCUAGCUAUGAUACAUGAAAAAUAAUUGAUUUCCCUGAAAGAUUAAGCUCUUCAUAAAUAAUGAUAUGCAUUACAUAUUGUAAAAUAAGAUCGAGAAAAUAAUAGGUGCAAUCACACACAAGUUGAGGCUCAAAUAUUUAUUCGAUUCAUAAUGGAUCAUAUUUCAAAAGAUUAAUUUAUAACCAUCAGAUCCACCACAUUAACCUUAUAACAAACAUGAAUCCAAGUUUACCCUUGAAAAUAGUAGAAUAGAAGAUCAAUUUAGAACCAUCAGAUCCAACACAUUAACCUAAUAACAAACAUGAAUCCAACCCAUGGAUCAAUAGUUUACCCUUAAAAAUAGUAAAAUAGAAACUAAUCCACCAAAUGGGGUCAAAUUAGAUCCAAAUUAUGCUGGUUGAUUGCGGUCGAUUUGACCAAAGUGUCAAACUAAAAACAAACUCGGCCAGACUCAAUUUUUCUUUCCUCAAAAUUGUAUCAAGGUUUGGUCAAGAUGUUUUCUAAAUGAGAAAGCAGGUAUUAGUACUUUACAACCAGAACUCUCUCUUUAAAUUACUGUCUAUCCAAAGGACACAUAAGAAACUGCAAGUUUUUCAUUCAGGAAUAACUCUCCCUCUUGGGAUGUCUUCUACCUCACUAUUUAGCUUCCCUUACUGGUGCACUAAAUUUUGUCCAUUAGAAGUAAUCAAACUGCCUAAGACAAUCCUAAAAUAUCUUUCUCUAAAUUAACUACUACUAAGUUGCAAUGCCAUGUUCUAUCUUCUCUUUUUGGCGAACUUAUAACUAAUGUUUUUAAUCUAACGAAUCAAGAAGAGAUUAUCUGUUAAUUUUUCACUCCAUCAAUAUUCAUGUCUUAUUACUUUGCAGUAAUGUACGCUAAAUCAUUAGUACUCGAAACCAAAAUGCAUUACAACUUUACAAAUUCUAUGAAUGUCCUCCAGAAGGCUCCAUUAGAUUUAGUAAUGGUAUGCAGCAAUUGCAUACGGUACAAAAAUCUGUUUUUGUCCUGCUUUAGUUUCUAUAAAAUGCAUUAUCCUUAAUCUUGCACCUAGUAGAUUUUCUAGAAAUACCUUGUGCUGACAAUUAUUAGCAUGAAGUUAGCAUGCCAGGAGCACACUGCACUUUACCGGCACAGGGAGCAGGACUACGGCACAAAAAUUCUUGAUAAAGAGAAAAUGCAAAUGUUUCUAAAGAGAUUUUGAUCUAUCAACAUAAUCUAGUAACCAAGGUGUAUGUAUUUUCAUGCUAUCUGACAACUAAACCAACAACUAUUUGAAAUUUUGAAUACAAGUAAUUGGAUCAAAAUAAAACUUGCAUCCCACAAUAUAAAAGUUGAUAGUUCAAAAUACAGAUCAUUAGAGACAAAUCUGAACCAGCAAUUAUGAUGUGAAGAUAUCUGUUUGUUUCAAACGUUAAUUGAUAACAAUGGCUAAGUCUGCAAAUAUGUUCACAACAUUCAGCAGAAAAAUGGAUUUGCAAGUACAAUGAUCAUAGAAGUUUAAAGGAACUUACCAAGCGGGUGGUCGAAAUCUCACUCCAUCCAUGAGUCACAUCAGCCAGAUCCUUUAAAGUUGUUCCAACAUAUACUAAUGCAAGAGUGAUUGGCUGUUCAAGUCAACACUAUACAUCAAAAAUCCUUCUGAAAUCAAUGUCUUUCAGCAACCAAAAAAAAAAAGAAAGAAGAAGAGAUCUGCUACAGUGAGUACCAUCUUUUCCUAACUUCCAAAUUAUAGGUUACAUAUGAACAUAACAGUGAAAUGCAACCCUUGACUUACCUAGCAUCACACUACAUAGCACAAGAUAAGCAAACCACAAGAUGCUAGAAAUUUUAAGAAAUAGAUUAAAAAUUUAUAGACAAUAAAAGGCAAUGACAUUUGUUUAUCGAUCCUAAAUUUAUUGAUACAAAAAUAUAUUUGACGAUAAACUAGUACGAAUGCAUUGCAUCUGCAGUACAACAAGAAUAGUAAAAUAGCACAAAAAGAGAAUUAUUGACAUGGAUUUCCUCAGAAAUCUGUUCCAAUCGGCCUAUUCCUAUUAGGAUUAGGGUUUCUUCUUAAUAUUUCUUUAUAUUAGGAUUAUUUUUAUAUGUUUUAAUUUCAUUCGAUUAUGUUAGUAUUCCUCAAAUUAUGGUUUUCAGGAUCUUAUAAAUAAAAGACCAAACACCCCCUUUGAAUUCAUCAAUUAAUUCCAUCAAUUAAGAAGAGAUUUUAGGGUUCUACCUUAGGCCAUGAGUAGAAUAUCGUACCAAAUCCAAUCUGCCAAACAGCAGCAAAGCAAGAAAGGCAAAUGAAACUAUUAAAUCCUAAAGCAUCUUUUAUGUAUGUUCAGAAUGAUAAAUGCAGCAAUUUAUUUCUCAAUGGCAAUUGAGAAGCAGGAGAAUCAUAAAAAGAAAUUUUAACUUCCAGGGGCACACAUAUUCUCAUACUCUUCAGGCUAAACAACAAUUUACCCCUCUUAAGGUUUAAUGCAUUUGCACUCUGAGACCCUUGUGUUUUAAACGUUGCUCAUUGGUAUCUUGUAAUUUUAUUUUUCAUGCACCCUACAACCAAUGUUUGACCCAGUCCAAAGACCAGUAUGGUCAACCUAAUAUAUACAACCAGAAUAGGUAGAAAACCAGAAAAAAGAAAAAAAUAAAAAUAAAAUAAAAAAGAGGCUUAAAACCGGCCUAACCAACUAGUUGAACCGCACAGGCUCAGAUAAACCAGU
RNAcentral lists this long non-coding RNA (21057 nucleotides) under Ananas comosus (pineapple). RNAcentral's name for it is "long non-coding RNA (ACOM_LNC026742)". Lineage: Eukaryota; Viridiplantae; Streptophyta; Magnoliopsida; Poales; Bromeliaceae. The record is from RNAcentral.